Molecule: RNA transcript, 3879 nt
Organism: Salvia miltiorrhiza (redroot sage)
Lineage: Eukaryota; Viridiplantae; Streptophyta; Magnoliopsida; Lamiales; Lamiaceae
Gene name: pentatricopeptide repeat-containing protein At5g16420, mitochondrial-like
Exons: 3
Source: RefSeq, a predicted model, not a curated record
UUAAUUCUAUCUAUAUAAUUCUCCGUUCUUUUAUUUGUUUAUUUAAAACUUUAAGUCAAUGGAAAGCUCUAUCUAGCAAUGCUGCCUCCUGUUUUCCUAUUACUGAAAAUUCUGUAUGCUUCCCUGUGCUUAAAAACUUAUUUUACAUGGUGCUACUCGUUCUCUGAUGAAUGUCCUGCUGAUGCUUUUUACCAGUCAAACUGAACAGUUUGAAUGAUUAUCAGAGAAAAAUAGAUUUCAUCAUGAGUUGAAAAUCUAUAAUAUGAAGUCUGAAGAACAUCCAAGAAUUAAGUAGUGAGGUGGGUGAGAGAAUUUGGUGUCUUUAUAUCUUUCAUAUCUGUUUUGGAGCAGGAAGAUCCACUAUAACAUGAUUGUGCUGGCUCAUUUGCUGCAAUUGGUAGAAAUGGACUUUUCCUAGUCGAUUAAUGUAGUUAGUGUGUAAAUAUACAUCAAGUAUUGAGAUUAUGUAUUAUGUUGCCUAAUUUUCUUGUGCAUUACGUAUGAGUUAACAUUCUUGAAAUGCUAUUCCAUCUCUUGUUGUCUUGUGUAGAGGAAUUAAAAGAGGAAUAGCUUAGAGCAUAUUAAAGCUGAUUUCUUCAUUUUAUUUAAGCUGCAUUGGUUGUUUGCUUUUAACACGGAUUUGUGUGGAAAUUUUAUUUUAUUACUAUAUCAAAGAUUAACACUGUACAGUGGCAAUCAAACAGUAUCUGUAGAAAGCUUGAGUUGAGGAAAAGAUACGGUUUACAGAAUCGAGUCACGAUCUAGCGUUUUUCUGGGAAUUUGACCCGAUUUUGAAUAUAGGCAAUUAAGAUUCAAGAUCGAAAUGAUCAAUUCUCAAUUUCUCAUACCUAAAUUUAUGGCAACGAUGAAUAAAGAAGGCCGUAGAGAUACAAAAUACUAUUACACUCAAAUUAAUCAAAUCAAAUAUUCGUACAACUCAUUGCUGCUUGGGCUAUAUGAGGAUAAGCAGAUUGGAAUAUUCUUGAAUGCAAAGAAGGAGCAGUGUUUGCGUUUAUGAGAGUUGGAGUUUGAAUGCUGAAUUAGGCAAAUUAUUCCACACAGAUUAACAAAAUUCACCAUGUUAGGUUAUCGGAAAAUUCACCCUCUCCGCCGCAUCACCGCCGCAGCCCACCCGUUCUCCACCAUGAAAUCCGAAUCCGAACUGCUCCAGUCAUACACUGUCACGCCACCAAUCAAACCCUGGCCACGAAACCUCACCCCCAAACGCCUCUGCUCCAUUAUCACCCAACAGCAAAAUCUCGAUCUCGCCCUUCAGAUCUUCCACUACGCCGGAAAUCACCACCCCAAUUUCCGCCACACUUACGAAACCUACCACUCCAUUAUCCACAAGCUCUCCCGCUUGCGCGCUUUCGACCCCAUACCCUCCCUCUUAAAUGCAUUACGCGCCUCACCAAUCAAAUGCGGCGAAAAUGUAUUCAUCACGCUGAUUCGGUAUUACGGACUUGCCAGCAGACCCAAAGAGGCGAUAAAAAUAUUCCUUCAAGUUAAUGAUUUUGGAGUGAAGAGGUCAGUUCGCUCGUUUAACACUUUAUUAAAUGCUUUGGUUCUGAACAAAAAGUAUGAUACUGUCUACCUUAUGUUCAAGAAUUGCCAGAAAAGGUUCAAAAUCAUGCCCAAUGUGUUCACUUGCAAUAUAUUGUUAAAAGCUCUGUGUAAGAAGGAUGAUGUAGAGGGUGCGCUCAAGGUGUUGGAUGAAAUGCCUGGAAUAGGAAUGGUGCCUAAUGUGGUCAGUUAUACUACUAUUAUGACCGGGUAUGUGGACCGUGGUGAUAUGUUGGGAGCAAAGAGAAUGUUCGAUGAGCUUCUGGAUCGGGGUUGGCUGCCGGAUGCAACCACAUACACAGUUCUGAUGGAUGGGUUUUGUAAACUGGGUCGGUUUGCUGAUGCAACGAAAGUGAUGGAUGAGAUGGUGGAGAAUGGAGUUGAGCCAAAUGAUGUUACAUAUAGUGUUAUGAUUGAGGCAUUGUGCAAAGUGAAGAAGUCGGGGGAAGCAGUCAAUAUGAUUGGUGAUAUGCUUGACAAUAAUUAUGUGCCCAGCUCACAUUUAUGUUGUAAGGUGAUAGAUGCCUUGUGCAGGGAAGGGAAGGCUGAUGAAGCUUGCAGCUUGUGGAAGUUAUUGUUGGUGAAGAACUGUACUCCAGAUAACGUGAUAUUGAGCACACUUAUACAUUGGUUAUGCAAGGAAGGGAAGGUUUGGGAAGCAAGGAAGCUGUUUGAUGAGUUUGAGAGGGGUUCUAUACCUAGCGUUUUGACGUAUAACAUGCUGAUUGCAGGGAUGUGUGACAGAGGGGAGUUGUGCGAGGCUGGAAGGUUGUGGGAUCACAUGGUGGAAUCUGGCUGCCCUCCAAAUUCCUUUACUUAUAACCUACUGAUUAAUGGGUUCUGCAAAAAGGGUUUUGCAAAGGAAGGGAUCAAAAUCUUUGAGGAGAUGUUGGAUAGAGGGUGCUCUCCAAAUGAAUCCACUUACUCCAUCUUAAUUGAAGGGCUGUGCAGCUCUGGUUGCGAAGCAGAUAUAUUGAAUGUCCUUAGUGCUGCUGCCGCUAAUAACGUGGAGGUCAAAUCUGAUUCUUGGAGAAUUUUAGUGAAUAAAUUUGUCCCUAAUCAUGGCAACGUUAGCGCCACUUUGGAAAGCAUUUUAUUGGAUAAUGUGGCUUAAGGUUCCUUGCCCAUUUGAGUUUGGAUGAAUGCUUGGAGGUCAAUGCUCUGGUGCUACACAUGUGUAUAACUUGAAUCUGCAGUAAUGAUCUUUCCCAAAAGCUGCAUUCGUUGUGGCUUGGCUUCUCACUAAUAUUUAAUCUGGUUCCUGUACCGAACAGCUAGAUGCAAACCAGACACAACAGAAGUAAGCUUGCUGAUUGGCGUAGGAUCAGCAGAUUGAAACAUUCUGAAUCAAAUAAAGAGCUUUGUUUCUGGUACAAGCCUGAAGAACUACUGUGAGAGUUGGAGGUUGAAUGUUGAGCUCAACGACAUUAGGGAGUUCGAGGUUGUCCCUCAAGAAUGUGUUGACUACAUAGGAAAAUACAUGGGUUCGAUUUGGUACAAGGCUGAUUGCCAAAGAGCUGUCGAGUAAUGCCGGCUCUAUCUCAGCAGCUUCUGCACUUCGAAAGGUGAUGGCAAGGAUGCAUGGAUCUUUGAUGUUGGCGAUACCUUAAUCCACAACCUUGCUGAUCUGUUUGAACUUCUUUUUUCUAUUGGGACGAUGCAGUGGAAAUAAGCUGAACAUUACAUGAGAUCAAAGCAAAGGGAUUCAAGAUCUUUCUUGUCUCGAGUUGAAGGGAAUCUAUGACAGAUGCCGCAGUUGACAACCUCAUCAAAGAGGGCUACCAUGGCUGAUCUGCCUUAGUGUCAAGGUAUAAUUAACCUAAUCAUAAGCAAUUACCAUGUUAGGCAUAUGUAGCAUCAAUGAUGAUGAUGGUGAAGAAUAGUUUGAAGGGAUCUCAAAGACAAAUAUAAGCAGUUACAAAACUAUAAGGCGGGAGCAAGGAAGAGAUUGGUUGAAGAAGGGCAGGGGAUCAAUGGAGCAGUUUCCAAGGAAACCAGAGCGCCAAGAGAAGUUUCAAACUCCCUAAUUGCUUCUACUACAUAUCUUGAAGCUCGGAUUAAUUUCUAAUGAUGACCAUAUUAUUGCCUAAUGUUCCUUAUAUAAAUCUUUUUGUUAUAGUGUCAUGUGCAACUAUAUAUAUAUUUUGUGUGUAUUCAUGCAUUUUUGUGGAAUAUUCUACAUUUUGGGAUUCAGAAAUAACGAGCCAAUUUCGGCAACUUGUGUUGGAACUUGAAAGAGAGAAUAUAUGUGAGAUUUUGUUCACUUGUAAUAAGAAUCCAAACAGCAAGUUGAUUAAAGGGUUGAAUUUCAAUGAA